This 460-nucleotide ribosomal RNA is filed under the name uncultured bacterium. RNAcentral describes it as "partial 16S ribosomal RNA". It matches the Rfam family "Bacterial small subunit ribosomal RNA", at positions 338 to 795 of the family's 1533-position model. The record is from RNAcentral.
CCUACGGGUGGCAGCAGUGCGGAAUAUUGGUCAAUGGACGAGAGUCUGAACCAGCCAAGUAGCGUGAAGGAUGACUGCCCUAUGGGUUGUAAACUUCUUUUAUAUGGGAAUAAAAUGUUCCACGUAUGGGAUUUUUUAUGUUCCAUAUGAAUAAGGAUCGGCUAACUCCGUGCCCGCCGCCGCGGUAAUACGGAGGAUCCGAGCGUUAUCCGGAUUUAUUGGGGUUAAAGGGAGCGUAGGUGGAUUGUUAAGUCAGUUGGGAAAGUUUGCGGCUCAACCGUAAAAUUGCAGGUGACACUGGCAGUCUUGAGUACAGUAGAGGUGGGCGGAAUUCGUGGUGUAGCGGUGAAAUGCUUAGAUAUCACGAAGAACUCCGAUUGCGAAGGCAGCUCACUGGACUGCAACUGACACUGAGGCUCGAAAGUGUGGGUAUCAAACAGGAUUAGAUACCCCUGUAGUC